ACGUGACCGCAGCUACUGAAGCCUGCGAGCCCUAGAGCCCAUGCUCUGCAACGAGAGAAGCCCUCGCAAUGAGAACCCUGCCCACCACAACUAGAGAAUCUGGUUCAAUCCCUGUUUGGGGAACUAAGAACCCACCAGCCUCGAGAAGCAGCAAAAAAAAAAAAAAAUCCUGCCUGAUACUGGGUAUAUGAAAGUCGGCUGGCAGGAAACAGAGGGCCACCCAGGAAGCCCGCUUCCUCACAGGAGCUCCAGAGCCUGCAGAUGCCCUUCAGGUGGAUGUGUGGGACUCACAGAAUCUAGACCUCGAGGAUCAGAAGAGCCCGGUGCCCUGCGUUCUCCUGCUCAACACGGUGAGCAUCCCCUGCCCGGACCCACACUUUUCCCAGCAGGACCUGGCACUGGUUCUGGUUUCUCUCUCUCCAUGGCCACAUGAAGAGGCUGUAGAAGCCACCCAGUCACCAUUUCACAGAUGACAUAUGGAGUUGGGGACUUGCCCAGUAGCACAGAGCCAAUCAGUGCAGAGCCAGGACUCAGCCCUCCGUCACCUGCCCACGCUCCAUCCAGGACUUUGUGUGUGUCAUCGUUGUCAGCCGUGGCCAUUUUGUGGUGCACCUACUGUGUGCAGCAGAAAAGAACACAGAGCAUCUCAGGAAGGGUUGUGGAAUUCAGAAGAUGCUAGUGUGUUUAGUGGGGCGAGGGGGACAGGUUGGGGAGGAGUGGGAAAGGACUCAUGGAGAUAGGCUGAUUCUCAGCUUGGACAGAAGUAGGGAGGGAAUGGCCCAGGGCAUCAAGAUAACAGGGACUUCCCUGGUGGUCCAGUGGCUAAGACUCCAUGCUCCCAAGGCAGGGGUCCCGGGUUCGAUCCCUGGUCAGGGAACUAGAUCCCACAUGCCACAUGCAACUGAGAAUUCACGUACUGCA
Molecule: long non-coding RNA, 921 nt
Organism: Bos taurus (domestic cattle)
Lineage: Eukaryota; Metazoa; Chordata; Mammalia; Artiodactyla; Bovidae
Source: Ensembl